This 268-nucleotide ribosomal RNA is filed under the name uncultured Glomus. RNAcentral describes it as "partial small subunit ribosomal RNA". It matches the Rfam family "Eukaryotic small subunit ribosomal RNA", at positions 608 to 877 of the family's 1831-position model. The record is from RNAcentral. Lineage: Eukaryota; Fungi; Glomeromycota; Glomeromycetes; Glomerales; Glomeraceae.
UAUAGUUGUUGCAGUUAAAAAGCUCGUAGUUGAAUUUCGGGAUUAGUAGGUUGGUCGUGCCUCCGGUAUGUACUGGCUUUACUGGUUCCUCCUUCUUGAAGAGCUGUAAUGUCAUUAAUUUGGUGUUGCAGGGAAACAGAUCUGUUACUUUGAAAAAAUUAAAGUGUUGAAAGCAGGCUAACGCUUGAAUACAUUAGCAUGAAAUAAUGAAAUAGNACGUUUAGUCCUAUUUUGUUGGUUUCUAGGAUUGACGUAAGAAUUAAUAGGG